Transfer RNA from Camelus ferus (Wild Bactrian camel), 77 nucleotides. It matches the Rfam family "tRNA". From Rfam's summary of the family: Transfer RNA (tRNA) molecules are approximately 80 nucleotides in length. The record is from Rfam. Lineage: Eukaryota; Metazoa; Chordata; Mammalia; Artiodactyla; Camelidae.
GGACGGAUGGCUCAUCUCAGUGUUAGAGCGCAUGCUUAGCACGCACAAGGAACUGGGUUCGAUUCCCAGUGCCUCUG